Molecule: transfer RNA, 88 nt
Organism: Pestalotiopsis fici W106-1
Lineage: Eukaryota; Fungi; Ascomycota; Sordariomycetes; Amphisphaeriales; Sporocadaceae
Rfam family: tRNA
About the family: Transfer RNA (tRNA) molecules are approximately 80 nucleotides in length. Their secondary structure includes four short double-helical elements and three loops (D, anti-codon, and T loops).
Source: Rfam
GCCCGCUUGGCUCAUCGGUAGAGCGCCUCACUAGUAUCCUUUCCAGGAAGCAAUGAGGAGGCAAUUGGUUCGACUCCAGUAGUGGGCA